This 329-nucleotide unclassified non-coding RNA is filed under the name soil metagenome. RNAcentral describes it as "partial contains 5.8S ribosomal RNA, internal transcribed spacer 2, and large subunit ribosomal RNA". The stretch from base 1 to 120 matches the Rfam family "5.8S ribosomal RNA", at positions 35 to 154 of the family's 154-position model. The record is from RNAcentral.
GAUGAAGAACGCAGCGAAAUGCGAUAAGUAGUGUGAAUUGCAGAAUUCAGUGAAUCAUCGAAUCUCUGAACGCACAUUGCGCCCCUUGGUAUCCCGAGGGGCAUGCCUGUUCGAGCGUCAUUUCACCACUCAAGCCUGGCUUGGUGUUGGGCGACGUCCUCUUUGGGGACGCGCCUCGAAACGCUCGGCGGCGUGGCACCGGCUUUAAGCGUAGCAGAAUCUUUCGCUUUGGAAGUCGGGGCCCCGUCUGCCGGAAGACCUGCUCGCAAGGUUGACCUCGGAUCAGGCAGGGAUACCCGCUGAACUUAAGCAUAUCAAUAAGCGGAGGA